Molecule: long non-coding RNA, 755 nt
Filed under: Acanthaster planci (crown-of-thorns starfish)
Lineage: Eukaryota; Metazoa; Echinodermata; Asteroidea; Valvatida; Acanthasteridae
Description: uncharacterized LOC110985126, transcript variant X2
Source: RNAcentral
GUCGGCGCAGCUAGCUACCCUCUUUCGCCACAGUAUUAUGUAGGCACACAAUGAUCGUUACAUACAAGUAUCCGUCAUAUCCAUGCACCAAACCCAGAUGAAUGUGUAGGCUAGGCCUAGAAGAAUUUCAUAAUCGUGGACUCGGAGUCAAGGAUGGUGAAAUCCUAACAAUUUUCGACACGGACUUUGGUGAAUACAUCACAUACAGUCCUGAAUAUGAAGUAUCAGCCCUGGACAAGUUGAAAAUUGGUGUGGCUUUGAAAAGAAGCCUCCAGAGAAAAUCACUGAUCUCUUAGCAAAGAGAAAGAAAAAAAAAAGUGAGGGAAGUCCUCUGCAACAAAACAGGCGUGCUGAGCAGAUUUGACAGAAUCUGCUCAGAAUCCCAUGCUGGAGAUUCUGACAGAAUCCCAUGAUGGAGUCAGGUCCAGCAAAGGAGGGGGUACAAGAUACUUGACCGUUUCUACCAACUCCUCAUACUCCGAGCUUUGCAAAAAAGGGUCUGGAUGCAUUUUUUUUCCUCUGGAAAAUCAGCCCAAGGACCAAGAUCAGGCUUCAAGUUGGACGGACUAGGCACAUUUCAACAACUGUUGGCAGAAGCAGAGCCGUGUACUCUUGUGAGAAGCUCAACUUCAGAAGAGUCUGAAGGAGAACAUGGCAGUGAGGUCAUCGAAACCCCCGCAAAACAACAAGCUCUAUCUUCCAACUAUUCUGAGUCAUUGCCGAAUGUGGAUUUGACACCUCCAUGGAAUUUCCAG